GGGACUUUAGCUCAACGGUCAGAGCAGCGGACUCAUAAUCCGUUGGUUGUAGGUUCGAAUCCUACAAGUCCCACCA
RNAcentral lists this transfer RNA (76 nucleotides) under Pseudomonadota bacterium. Its description in RNAcentral is "tRNA-Ile". It matches the Rfam family "tRNA". From Rfam's summary of the family: Transfer RNA (tRNA) molecules are approximately 80 nucleotides in length. The record is from RNAcentral. RNAcentral also lists the same sequence under 6 other names. Lineage: Bacteria; Pseudomonadati; Pseudomonadota.